Molecule: ribosomal RNA, 468 nt
Filed under: uncultured bacterium
Lineage: Bacteria
Description: partial 16S ribosomal RNA
Rfam family: Bacterial small subunit ribosomal RNA
Source: RNAcentral
GACGAACGCUGGCGGCGUGCUUAACACAUGCAAGUCGAACGGAAAGGCCCUGCUUUUGUGGGGUGCUCGAGUGGCGAACGGGUGAGUAACACGUGAGUAACCUGCCCUUGACUUUGGGAUAACUUCAGGAAACUGGGGCUAAUACCGGAUAGGAGCUCCUGCGGCAUGGUGGGGGUUGGAAAGUUUCGGCGGUUGGGGAUGGACUCGCGGCUUAUCAGCUUGUUGGGGGGGUAGUGGCUUACCAAGGCUUUGACGGGUAGCCGGCCUGAGAGGGUGACCGGCCACAUUGGGACUGAGAUACGGCCCAGACUCCUACGGGAGGCAGCAGUGGGGAAUAUUGCACAAUGGGCGGAAGCCUGAUGCAGCAACGCCGCGUGCGGGAUGACGGCCUUCGGGUUGUAAACCGCUUUCGCCUGUGACGAAGCGUGAGUGACGGUAAUGGGUAAAGAAGCACCGGCUAACUACGUG